Molecule: ribosomal RNA, 634 nt
Filed under: Microbacteriaceae bacterium Ri1Ps_4626
Lineage: Bacteria; Bacillati; Actinomycetota; Actinomycetes; Micrococcales; Microbacteriaceae
Also listed under: 2 other names
Description: bacterial SSU rRNA
Rfam family: Bacterial small subunit ribosomal RNA
Source: RNAcentral
CCUGAUGCAGCAACGCCGCGUGAGGGAUGACGGCCUUCGGGUUGUAAACCUCUUUUAGUAGGGAAGAAGCGAAAGUGACGGUACCUGCAGAAAAAGCACCGGCUAACUACGUGCCAGCAGCCGCGGUAAUACGUAGGGUGCAAGCGUUGUCCGGAAUUAUUGGGCGUAAAGAGCUCGUAGGCGGUUUGUCGCGUCUGCUGUGAAAUCUGGGGGCUCAACCCCCAGCCUGCAGUGGGUACGGGCAGACUAGAGUGCGGUAGGGGAGAUUGGAAUUCCUGGUGUAGCGGUGGAAUGCGCAGAUAUCAGGAGGAACACCGAUGGCGAAGGCAGAUCUCUGGGCCGUAACUGACGCUGAGGAGCGAAAGCAUGGGGAGCGAACAGGAUUAGAUACCCUGGUAGUCCAUGCCGUAAACGUUGGGAACUAGAUGUGGGGGCCAUUCCACGGUCUCCGUGUCGCAGCUAACGCAUUAAGUUCCCCGCCUGGGGAGUACGGCCGCAAGGCUAAAACUCAAAGGAAUUGACGGGGGCCCGCACAAGCGGCGGAGCAUGCGGAUUAAUUCGAUGCAACGCGAAGAACCUUACCAAGGCUUGACAUAUACCGGAAACGUCCAGAGAUGGUCGCCCCGCAAGGUCG